Molecule: ribosomal RNA, 509 nt
Filed under: Porphyromonas sp.
Lineage: Bacteria; Pseudomonadati; Bacteroidota; Bacteroidia; Bacteroidales; Porphyromonadaceae
Description: partial 23S ribosomal RNA
Rfam family: Bacterial large subunit ribosomal RNA
Source: RNAcentral
GUAGGUGCAAAUAACCUUUGAUCCAGGGAUUUCCGAAUGGGACAACCCAGCAGGUUGAAGACCUGUUAUCACUACAUUAGUAGUGAGGCGAACGAAGGGAACUGAAACAUCUUAGUACCUUUAGGAAGAGAAAAUAAAUAAUGAUUCCCCUAGUAGUGGCGAGCGAACGGGGAAUAGCCCAAACCUGCUUUGUGGCAACGCUUAGCAGGGGUUGUAGGACCACGCUGUCGUACUUAGAUUGUGAGAAGAAUGUUCUGGAAAGAACAAUCAUAGAGGGUGAUAAUCCCGUAUUCGAAGCAUGACGAGACGUAGUGGUAUCCUGAGUAACGCGGAACACGUGUAAUUCUGCGCGAAUCUGCCGGGACCAUCCGGUAAGGCUAAAUACUCCCGUGAGACCGAUAGUGAACGAGUACUGUGAAGGAAAGGUGAAAAGCACUCCGAUGAGGAGAGUGAAAUAGUUCCUGAAACCAUGCGCCUACAAGCGGUCGGAGCCGUGUAAGCGGUGACGG